This 450-nucleotide ribosomal RNA is filed under the name Burkholderia sp. RNAcentral's name for it is "bacterial SSU rRNA". It matches the Rfam family "Bacterial small subunit ribosomal RNA", at positions 112 to 558 of the family's 1533-position model. The record is from RNAcentral. Lineage: Bacteria; Pseudomonadati; Pseudomonadota; Betaproteobacteria; Burkholderiales; Burkholderiaceae.
AAUACAUCGGAACAUGUCCUGUAGUGGGGGAUAGCCCGGCGAAAGCCGGAUUAAUACCGCAUACGAUCUACGGAUGAAAGCGGGGGACCUUCGGGCCUCGCGCUAUAGGGUUGGCCGAUGGCUGAUUAGCUAGUUGGUGGGGUAAAGGCCUACCAAGGCGACGAUCAGUAGCUGGUCUGAGAGGACGACCAGCCACACUGGGACUGAGACACGGCCCAGACUCCUACGGGAGGCAGCAGUGGGGAAUUUUGGACAAUGGGCGAAAGCCUGAUCCAGCAAUGCCGCGUGUGUGAAGAAGGCCUUCGGGUUGUAAAGCACUUUUGUCCGGAAAGAAAUCCUUGGCUCUAAUACAGUCGGGGGAUGACGGUACCGGAAGAAUAAGCACCGGCUAACUACGUGCCAGCAGCCGCGGUAAUACGUAGGGUGCAAGCGUUAAUCGGAAUUACUGGG